This 809-nucleotide ribosomal RNA is filed under the name uncultured bacterium. RNAcentral describes it as "bacterial SSU rRNA". It matches the Rfam family "Bacterial small subunit ribosomal RNA", at positions 51 to 869 of the family's 1533-position model. The record is from RNAcentral.
ACACAUGCAGUCGAGCGGGAUCCAUCCAGUAGCAAUACUGGUGAAGAUCUAGCGGCGAACGGGUGAGUAACACGUGAGAAACCUGCCCCGGACUCUGGGAUAACACGAGGAAACUCGUGCUAAUACCGGAUACCUUCUUUUGGUCGCAAGGCCGAAUGAAGAAAGAUUUAUCGGUUUGGGAGGGUCUCGCGGCCUAUCAGCUAGUUGGCGGGGUAACGGCCCACCAAGGCAUCGACGGGUAGCUGGUCUGAGAGGACGAUCAGCCACACUGGGACUGAGACACGGCCCAGACUCCUACGGGAGGCAGCAGUGGGGAAUCUUGCGCAAUGGGCGAAAGCCUGACGCAGCAACGCCGCGUGCGGGAUGAAGGCCUUCGGGUUGUAAACCGCUUUCAGCAGGGAAGAAAUUGACGGUACCUGCAGAAGAAGCCCCGGCCAACUACGUGCCAGCAGCCGCGGUAACACGUAGGGGGCGAGCGUUGUCCGGAUUUAUUGGGCGUAAAGAGCUCGUAGGCGGUUCGGUAAGUCGGGUGUGAAACCUCCAGGCUCAACCUGGAGACGCCACCUGAUACUGCUGUGACUAGAGUCCGGUAGGGGAGUGUGGAACUCCUGGUGUAGCGGUGAAAUGCGCAGAUAUCAGGAAGAACACCAGCGGCGAAAGCGGCACUCUGGGCCGGUACUGACGCUGAGGAGCGAAAGCGUGGGUAGCAAACAGGAUUAGAUACCCUGGUAGUCCACGCCGUAAACGUUGGGCACUAGUGUGGGUCUCAACCAACGAGAUCCGUGCCGCAGCUAACGCAUUAAGUGCCC